This is a long non-coding RNA of Helianthus annuus (common sunflower), 1508 nucleotides long. RefSeq lists it as uncharacterized. The transcript is spliced from 3 exons. Lineage: Eukaryota; Viridiplantae; Streptophyta; Magnoliopsida; Asterales; Asteraceae. The record is from RefSeq and is a predicted model, not a curated record.
UCUCAUCAGCCGCACAACACUAAAACCCCUCUUCUUCCUCUCACGAAAUCAGUCACCGGAGUCACGAUUCCGACACCGUUUUCCGGCCACUCCGGCCGCACCUGAAAUCCCCAUCUGAAUCUCCAUAGAACCCCUCCCCUUUCCUCCUUUGUCCUUAUAACGCACACCUCCUUGACUUUAGAAGAGAAUCACUGUGAAGAGAGCAGAUGAGGGAGAGAAGACGACAGGUCAAAUGUUCGGGUCCGAUGUGUUACAGGAGAAGCUCCGGCUCAGACCAGUAGCAGUGGCAGCCGUAUAUUUUCCUUCGCCACCCCAUAUCUCGUUUAUACGAUAAUGUAGUCUCAUUUAAUCUUGCAAUACAGGUAAUUUUCAUCACCUCCAAUCCUUGACAUUUCGUUUUCAGUAUUUCUGGGUUUUACAAAUGGGUCGGUUGAUUGAUGUUAUGUUUUAUUUCUUUCUUUAGUCCUUGGGUUUUACAAAUGGAUUGAUUGAUUAGUUAUUUUGGGAUUUAAGGAAGGGAGCAAUUAGGUUAAUAUGGACUCUCAGGCGAACCCCCAAUUAGGUUGAUACGACUUUCAAUGGAUUGUAUACUAGUUGUGUGAUUACAAUAUCAAUUAACUUACAUUACUUUCUGAUAUGUGUAGUAUUUUGGUUAUGUUGUAUUUGUAUUUGUAUUCACUAUUCAGUUUGAAUCAGUUUUAAGAUGACCCAAUAUUUUACCCUCAGUUAUUGGAGCGUUUGUUAUUGUUGAAAUGCUUUUUAGCUCUAGUCUUUUUGCUAUUGUUGGAGCUGAUCAACUGGUAGUUCAGAUAUGCUAGCUAAUUCAAUAGUUAUUACACAAUAUUAUCUAGGUAUUUAGUCAUCAUCUUUCUCCGAAUUAUGACAUGCAUCUCUAGGUAAUACUGGAAUUACUCUCACCCUUCAGGUUAGUGUUUUUUUUUUCAACUUUUGCACUUUGUUAAUUCAAGUUAAAAUUAGAUGUGAAACUUUAUUGCUUUUAUUUGUUCUUGAUUAAAAAAUCAUAGAUAGCAAACCAACGUGACUGGAAAUAUAUGACAUCAAGUUGAUAGAAUUUUAGGCACCGAAAAAUAUAUAAUCCUGGCUCCACCACUGGUUUCAAUUUGCCGAAGACACCUAUAUAGCUCUGUAUUCUCUGUCUUGGAGGUGGAAACUAGUGAUUGUCGAGUCCAGUACGAAACGAACUGGGUAACCUUUAGCUCAUGUCAAAAUGGGUCAUGUUGGGUUGACCCGCAAAAGGUUUUUUGGUCCAUCUUUUAAACUUUUAUAUACAUAGUUAACGCAUUUGAUGUGAUCAUAUACAGUUUAUGUAAUUUUGUUAACUUGACUAACUUUUGGAUCUUAGAUCCUAUGAAAUUCAUUUCAUUUGUUUCUACAAUUCAAGAUUGUAUUGGUGCAUCCAUCGCAUGGCUCUAUCCAUUCAUCUCGGUAGUCCAUGAGGAUUGAGGACACAUGAUGACUCAAGAUUUUAUGCUUCUUAUUUCUUUAAU